AUUGAACGCUAGCGGGAUGCCUUACACAUGCAAGUCGAACGGCAGCGCGGACUUCGGUCUGGCGGCGAGUGGCGAACGGGUGAGUAAUGUAUCGGAACGUGCCCAGUAGCGGGGGAUAACUACUCGAAAGAGUAGCUAAUACCGCAUACGCCCUACGGGGGAAAGGGGGGGAUCGCAAGACCUCUCACUAUUGGAGCGGCCGAUAUCGGAUUAGCUAGUUGGUGAGGUAAAGGCUCACCAAGGCGACGAUCCGUAGCUGGUUUGAGAGGACGACCAGCCACACUGGGACUGAGACACGGCCCAGACUCCUACGGGAGGCAGCAGUGGGGAAGUUUGGACGAUGGGGGCAACCCUGAUCCAGCCAUUCCGCGUGUGCGAUGAAGGCCUUCGGGUUGUAAAGCACUUUUGGCAGGAAAGAAAUCGCACGGAUUAAUACUCUGUGUGGAUGACGGUACCUGCAGAAUAAGCACCGGCUAACUACGUGCCAGCCGCCGCCGUAA
RNAcentral lists this ribosomal RNA (500 nucleotides) under uncultured bacterium. Its description in RNAcentral is "partial 16S ribosomal RNA". It matches the Rfam family "Bacterial small subunit ribosomal RNA", at positions 30 to 523 of the family's 1533-position model. The record is from RNAcentral.